UGGAGUUGCCGCCAGCAUUGCCCUGAGGAAAUUUUAAGUCCUGCACUUGCCCUUCUGUGCUGAGUACUGCAACUUCCAGGACUGGGUUGAACACAAUAAAAAAGUAUGGAAGAAAAUGAACUAUUGAUUAUUGGCUUCUUACUCUCAGAAAUGGGAUCUGUGCAAACAUAACACUCUGCAUAGGGGCUGUGGAGGGAUACAAUAUACAUAUUAUCCAAAUACUGAAAUACAAAGGAUCAUGCAGCAAGAGCAGAAACGUAGCAGCAGGGAGAAAGCAAGGUGACAGGAGAGAUACCUUAAGGCAUAUGAAAAACAUUCUUUUGUGUCUCUUCGGGUCAUAACAAUUAAACUCAUGGAACAUCCAACUAAACAUGACCUUUAUACAUCACCUAUAAAAGCAAG
Molecule: non-coding RNA, 402 nt
Organism: Pantherophis guttatus
Lineage: Eukaryota; Metazoa; Chordata; Lepidosauria; Squamata; Colubridae
Source: RefSeq, a predicted model, not a curated record